RNAcentral lists this ribosomal RNA (407 nucleotides) under uncultured bacterium. Its description in RNAcentral is "bacterial SSU rRNA". It matches the Rfam family "Bacterial small subunit ribosomal RNA", at positions 969 to 1375 of the family's 1533-position model. The record is from RNAcentral.
CCUUACCAUCCCUUGACAUCCAGAGAAUUUUCUAGAGAUAGAUUAGUGCCUUCGGGAGCUCUGAGACAGGUGCUGCAUGGCUGUCGUCAGCUCGUGUUGUGAAAUGUUGGGUUAAGUCCCGCAACGAGCGCAACCCUUAUCCUUAUUUGCCAGCGAGUAAUGUCGGGAACUUUAAGGAGACUGCCGGUGAUAAACCGGAGGAAGGUGGGGACGACGUCAAGUCAUCAUGGCCCUUACGGGAUGGGCUACACACGUGCUACAAUGGCAAGUACAAAGGGUUGCAAACUCGCGAGAGUAAGCGGAUCCCAUAAAGCUUGUCGUAGUCCGGAUUGGAGUCUGCAACUCGACUCCAUGAAGUCGGAAUCGCUAGUAAUCGUGGAUCAGAAUGCCACGGUGAAUACGUUCCC